GCCAGUUUCAUUCAUUUCUUGAAAAGAUCGAUGCCUGGGUACAGUUAUUGUAUCUGGCAACAUAGGUACACCAGAAGAUUGUAACUGGUGGGGGCCAGAAGAAGAACAUUCAUUUGCCAACUCUACUUUCUUUCUGCAAACACUGCUUUGGUGGCCUAUCAUUUCUCGCACUGGUGAAGUGAAAUGACUUGAUGAAGGUUCUACCGUAAUCCAUUUGGGAAUUCUUCUUUCAUUAUCUUGUACUAUCACAUCUACUUGAACCUGUACUUUUUCUCGCGCUUUCACAUCAUCUAAAUCCAGAUUCUGGAAGUGAAUGUCUUCAAAUCUUCUUCUCACUGACACUAUCUCAGCAUCGCUUUCUUCACCUGCAGUUUGAUCUGCAGUCCUUUGACUUCUUGCAUGAUGCUCCUUGGUUGAUA
RNAcentral lists this long non-coding RNA (419 nucleotides) under Gallus gallus (chicken). The record is from RNAcentral. Lineage: Eukaryota; Metazoa; Chordata; Aves; Galliformes; Phasianidae.